UCGAGAAUCUUCGGCAAUGGGCGCAAGCCUGACCGAGCGACGCCGCGUGCGGGAUGAAGGCCUUCGGGUUGUAAACCGCUGUCAGAAGGAAGGAAAUCCAUAGGGGCACUCUCCUAUGGUUGACCGAUCUUCAGAGGAAGUACGGGCUAAGUUCGUGCCAGCAGCCGCGGUAAGACGAACCGUACGAACGUUAUUCGGAAUCACUGGGCUUAAAGAGUACGUAGGCGGCUCGGUAGGUGAGGUGUGAAAUCCCACGGCUCAACCGUGGAACUGCGCUUCAAACCACCGAGCUUGAGGGAGACAGGGGUGAGCGGAACUGAUGGUGGAGCGGUGAAAUGCGUUGAUAUCAUCAGGAACACCGGUGGCGAAGGCGGCUCACUGGGUCUCUUCUGACGCUGAGGUACGAAAGCUAGGGGAGCGAACGGGAUUAGAUACCCCCGUAGUCC
Molecule: ribosomal RNA, 446 nt
Filed under: uncultured prokaryote
Description: bacterial SSU rRNA
Rfam family: Bacterial small subunit ribosomal RNA
Source: RNAcentral